AAUCAGCAGGGGGUCAAAUAUUUUUUCCCUCACUGUAUGUUUAUUGAUGUUUACAGUGGAAAUGUUUCAUAAUGUAUGUGCAGCAGUGAAGGAUGGGGUCACUUUAAAUGGGAUGACGGGCUCAUAGUAACAGAUGGAAUUAAUGGACAUUCAUUGUGAGCUGUCCUCCCAUCACCAGCCUCCACUGGUGUGUAAAUGCUUGAAUAAGAUUUUGGUAAUCCUUCUCUCCUGUAGGUAGGGAAUGCUGAUCACUACAACAGCUGCCUGCAGUCUCUGAAGAGGGGUACCCCAGUUAGAGGCUACAACAGCUGCCUGCAGUCUCUGAAGAGGGGUACCCCAGUUAGAGGCUACAACAGCUGCCUGCAGUCUCUGAAGAGGGGUACCCCAGUUAGAGGCUUUAAGGAGUUCUAGGAUAUACUAGUCCAAGAUGGCCUGACUCUGAUCAGCACGGAUGAGGUGGAUGGAAGCACCAGCCAGGUGCAGUAGAGUUGCUAACUAGCUCCUGUAUUACAGGGUUGAAGAUACCCAGGUCCUGACUGCGGAGGAGAAGAGAGAUGGCAGCAGCACCUGUGGUGGACGAUACUGGAGAUGUGGACCACUUGUAUUGUAGGGGCACUCUACCUUGUGUGUGAUGUGAGUUCUAACAUGGUUCUGCGCCUCUACCUGUCCAGCUGGACAUGAUGUG
Long non-coding RNA from Coregonus clupeaformis (lake whitefish), 685 nucleotides. RefSeq lists it as uncharacterized. The record is from RefSeq and is a predicted model, not a curated record. The transcript is spliced from 3 exons. NCBI's taxonomy places the organism in Eukaryota, Metazoa, Chordata, Actinopteri, Salmoniformes, Salmonidae.